AUAGGAUUAAGUAUCAAAAAGAACAUAUUUACCCUCAGGGGUUGGCCUGGUGGCAAUUGACUUGAGCCUUGGGGUUUCCUCCUUUUCAAGGUCUCAAGUUCGAAACCGUUGGGUGCAAACAAUUUCUGAGGGCCAUCAGACUGGGUAAAACCUAAAUUAACCGUGAUGCACUUGCGGGAAACUCCUUGCACAUGGCAUGUGCACUCCCAUGAUUAGUCGAGACUGGAAGAGACUCUGACACUCGGUGCAAAUAAAAAAAAACAUAUUUACCAACAAAGAAACUCAAUAAUAGAUUUUACUUGCAUGCAUUCUGAUUCUUAGAAUUAUAGUGAAAAGAAAACAUCUUUAGGCACACCCAUAUCAUAUCACAUCUUUCCAAUACGCUAAAUUAUCAAGAAGCACAUCUUUCCAAUAAAGCUAAUUCUAAAAUAGAACUUAGCAUUCACAUUCCUAGAACUCCAAAAGCAGAGAAUUUGUAUUUGAUCUUUGGCCAUCAAUUAUUUUUGCUACCAUCACCAUUAAUCGUUCAAUUACUAAAAUUCAGAUAGUGAAAACAUUGGAGAAAUUAUUCCAGAACAUUUUGGAAAAACAAACUAGUUUUAGACUGAAAUGAAUACCUUCAAGCUAAGAAUUAUUUCCACAAUGCUUCUCCAAGAGUUACAGUAUCAAAAGUGAACCAAAAGUUAAAUUGAGGUAUGAGCUCGGAUUGUUUCCUAUGUCAACAAGUAGCAGAGAAAAAUGCAAAAAGCAAAAACCAAAAACUAAAAUCAAUAGCACUGGGGUAGGCUCAGAUUCGCCUUUUCUCAGACAAAAUCCAAAAAGCUUUGGAAAAAACUUCCAUGGCUGCAGGCAUAAGUUAGCCUUGUGAGACAGGAAAAAACACCCGAAAAAUGGAUUUUCUCCAUUAUCUCAUAGACCAACAGUAUAGGGUAAGGCCUAUCUACAUGUUGUUGUUGUUGUAUCUCAUAGACAUAUCUGAGCUGCCAUGCCAAGAUACAGUUUUUUCCAGCUCAAUAGAUUUGUAAGUCUGUCUUUUUCACAAAUAACAAUCUUCAUAGCCAUUAAUAAAUUGGAACAGAGGAAGUAAUAAAUCAAUCAACCUAGAGUAGUUUUGCAAUCAGAAAAUUUUCAUUUGAGUGAUCAUUGGCGUAAUAAAUAAAUCAACCUACAGUAGUUUUGCAAUCAGAAAAUUUUCAUGAUCAUUGGCAACGGAGAAUGAUAGAGAGGGGCAAAACCACCCAUUAAAACUCCCUACAACUCUCUUCUUUCACCGCUGCCUCAGACUUAAACUAAUGAGAUUUUUGCUAUUUUCAUGUUAUCGCCACUUCUUAUAUAUUGUGCCCU
This 1344-nucleotide long non-coding RNA is filed under the name Nicotiana benthamiana. RNAcentral's name for it is "long non-coding RNA (NBEN_LNC018019)". Lineage: Eukaryota; Viridiplantae; Streptophyta; Magnoliopsida; Solanales; Solanaceae. The record is from RNAcentral.